UGGGGAAUCUUGCGCAAUGGGCGAAAGCCUGACGCAGCGACGCCGCGUGGGGGACGAAGGCCCUUAGGGUCGUAAACCCCUUUCGGCAGGGACGAAGCGAUCACGUGACGGUACCUGCAGAAGAAGCCUCGGCUAACUACGUGCCAGCAGCCGCGGUAACACGUAGGAGGCGAGCGUUGUCCGGAAUCAUUGGGCGUAAAGAGCGCGCAGGCGGCUCGGUAAGUCGGUUGUGAAAUCCCAGGGCUCAACCCUGGGACUGCGUCCGAUACUAUCGAGCUAGAGGUAGGUAGGGGAGAUCGGAAUUCCUGGUGUAGCGGUGAAAUGCGCAGAUAUCAGGAGGAACACCGGUGGCGAAGGCGGAUCUCUGGGCCUUACCUGACGCUCAGGCGCGAAAGCUAGGGGAGCGAACAG
This 411-nucleotide ribosomal RNA is filed under the name uncultured bacterium. RNAcentral describes it as "bacterial SSU rRNA". It matches the Rfam family "Bacterial small subunit ribosomal RNA", at positions 355 to 775 of the family's 1533-position model. The record is from RNAcentral.